Molecule: ribosomal RNA, 500 nt
Filed under: uncultured bacterium
Lineage: Bacteria
Description: partial 16S ribosomal RNA
Rfam family: Bacterial small subunit ribosomal RNA
Source: RNAcentral
AUUGAACGCUGGCGGAAUGCUUUACACAUGCAAGUCGAACGGCAGCACGGCCUUCGGUCCGGUGGCGAGUGGCGAACGGGUGAGUAAUGUCUCGGAACGUGCCCAGCCGUGGGGGAUAACGGAGUGGAAAGUACGCUAAUACCGCAUACGAUCUAUGGAUGAAAGCGGGGGAUCGCAAGACCUCGCGCGAUUGGAGCGGCCGAUAUCAGAUUAGGUGGUUGGUGGGGUAAAGGCCCACCAAGCCAACGAUCUGUAGCUGGUCUGAGAGGACGACCAGCCAGACUGGAACUGAGACACGGUCCAGACUCCUACGGGAGGCAGCAGUGGGGAAUUUUGGACAAUGGGCGAAAGCCUGAUCCAGCCAUUCCGCGUGCAGGAUGAAGGCCCUCGGGUUGUAAACUGCUUUUGUACAGAACGAAAAGGUUUCUACUAAUACUAGGAGCUCAUGACGGUACUGUAAGAAUAAGCACCGGCUAACUACGUGCCAGCAGCCGCAGUAA